AGGCUUCUCCGAAACCGCUGAUUCUUCAGAUUUCUCUUCAAUUGGUGAUUCUUCGUGUUUUUUUUCAACUACGGGUUCUUCAGUUUUUUCCUCAACUGAUGCAUAAUCAGCACUAUCAUUGUUGGUAUUGCAUGGAGUUGCAUUUUCUGUCUUGUUCUUUGAGCCUACAAUUGGUGAAUUCUGCAAAAAAUUUAAAAUUUCAUUUAGUCUUUAAAUAGAUAAACAGAUGUAAAUUCAUUGCACAUAUAAAGCUAAUAUGAUAGAUAAACUUUGUGACAGUGUUUAAUCUUCACCUUCUCCUGAAGAGCUUCCAUUUCUAGUUCCUCCUCUUCACUUGCUGGUUUUUCAUCUUUCUCUUCAACAACUAGUUCUUCAGGUGUCUUUAUAGUCUUUGAUUCUUCAGGUGCUUCUUUAUCUGCCCGUUCUUCAGGUUUCUCUUCAGCCACCGGUUCUUGAGGUAUAUUCUCUUGUACUUCAGAUCUCUCCUCAAUUAUUGGUUCUGCAGGUUUCUCUUCAUUGUCUGGUUCUUUGGGUUUUUCUUCGACAGCCAAUUCUUCAAGAUGAUUUUCCUCAAUGUCUGGAAAGUGAGCAACAUCAUUAUUGGUAUUGCAUGGAAUUUCACUGUCAGUUUUGUCGUUCAAGUCUACAAUUAGCACAUUCUGCAAAAAGAAUUUAAUGUUUCACUUAGCCUUGCAACAAAAAAGCAGAUGUGAACAACAAUAUGUGCAUAACUAACAAAAUGGAUAAAUUUUGUGAUAGUGCUUACCUUUUCAGGUUUCUCCUCUUCAACCGCUGGCUCUUCAUAUUUCUCUGCAAGUGCUGGUUUUUCAGGCUUCUCUUCAACUGUCAGUUGUUCAGUUUUCUUAUCAAUGACCAGUUCUUCAAGAUUCUCCGAAACAACAGAUACUACAGAUUUAUUUUCAAGUGCAAGUUCUUCAUGUGUUUCCUCUCCUGCAAACUCUUCAGAUGUUACUUUUGAUGUCGGUGCUACAGGUUUCUCUUCAAGUGCUAGUUCUUCAUGUGUUUCCUCCCCUGCUAGCUCUUCAGUUUUUUCUUUCGAUGUUGGUUCUUCAGGUUCCUCUUUAACCUCUGGUACAUCAUGUUUCUUUUCAAUAACUAAUUCUUCAGGUUUUUCUUCAACUUCAACUGCUGGUUCUUCGAGUUUUUUCUCAAUUUCUGGAAAGUGAGCAGUAUUGUUGUUGGUAUUGCAUGGAAUUUCAUUAUCAGUUUUGUCCUUAGAGUCUACAACUAGCAAAUUCUGCAAGAAGUAUUUAAAGUUUCACUUAGUCUUUUGUAGAUAAGCAGAUGUGAAUUGUUACACUUACAUAACUAAUAGGAUGGAUAAACUUUAUCACAGUGCCUGACCCUCGCCUUAUCCAAAAGAGUUACCUUUUCAGAUUUCUCUUCAAAUGCUAGUUCAUUUGGUGUUUCUUCCCGUGUUGGUUCUUCAGGUGCUUCUUCAGUUACCCUUUUUUCUGGUUUAUCUUCAACUGUUGGUUCUUCUAGUGUCUCCUCAAUCGAUGGUUCUUCAAGUUUCUCCCUUGGUGCUAGUUUUUCAGAUUUAUCUUCAACUGUUGGUUGUUCAUGUUUAUUCUCAACCGCUGAUUCUUCAGGCUUCUCCAAAACCGCUGAGUCUUCAGAUUUCUCUUCAAUUGUUGGUUCUUCAUGUUUUUUUUCAACUACUGGUUCUUCAGUUUUUUCCUCAACUGAUGCAUAAUCAGCAAUAUCUUUGCUGGUAUUGCAUGGAAUUGCAUUUUCUGUCUUGUUCAUUGGGUCUACUAUUGGCGAAUUCUGCAAAAAAAUUUAAAGUUUCUUUUAGUCUUUCAAUAGAUAAACAGAUGUAAAUUCGUUGCGCACAUAAAGCUAAUAUGAUGGAUAAACUUUGUGACUGUUUAAUCCUCACAUUCUCCUGAAGAGCUUCCAUUUCAGGUUUCUCCUCUUCAAUUGCUGGUUUUUCAUCAUUCUCUUCAACCACUAGUUCUUCAAGUGUAUCUUCAACCGUUGGUUUUUCAGGUUUCUCUUUAAGGGUUUCCUCCCCUGCUAGAUCUUCAGAUGUUUCUCUUUCUGUUGGUUCUUCAGGUUUCUCUUCAGCCUCUGGUUUCUUAAUUUUUUCCUCAAAUGAUUCUUCAGAUUUCUGCUCAACUGUUGGUAAAUCAGGUUUCUCUGGUUCCUCGGGUUUUUCUUCAACUGCUGGUUCCUCAACUUUUGCAAAGUUAGCAGCAUCGUUUAGGGUAUUGCAUGGAAAUUCUUUGUCAGUUUUGUUGUUUGAGUCUACAGCUAGCAUUUUCUGCUAGAGGAAUUUAAAGUUUCAGUUAGUCUUUAAGUAGAUAAGCAAAUAUGGACUGUUGCACAUACAUAACUAAGACAAUGGAUAAACUUUGUGCCAGUGCUUGAUCCUCACCUUUUCCAAGAGAGUUACCUUAUUAGGUUUCUCCUCUUUAACUGCUGGUUUUCCACCUUUCUCUUCAACUGCUAGUUGUUCUGUUGUUUCUUCAACUGUUCGUUCUUCAAGUUUUUCUUUGAAUUCUAAUUUUUCCGGUGUUUUUUCCCGUGUUGGUUCUUUUGGUGUUUCUUCAACUACUAGUUCUUCGAGUUUCUCUUCAGCUGCUGUUUUUUCAAAUUUCUCCUGAACCUCUGUUUCUUUCUCUUGCACAACUGGCUCUUCAGGGUUUUUUUCAACUUCUGGUUCUUCAUGUUUCUCUGUAACUGUUGGUUCUUUAUGUUUCUCUUCAAUCAUUGGUUCUUCAUGUUUUUCUUCAACUGCUAGUUCUUCAGAUUUUUCCUCUACUGCUGGAUGGUCAGCAACAUCUUGGUUUCCCUUCUCGAUUAAGUUGUUCCCGUGUUUCCCGCUCGUAUCUGAUUCAGCAUCAUCUAAUCUAGUUUCUUCGACAACGUUAAUAAAUGAGUUACCAAGCACAAAUUGUUCUUGUACCAUUCGACCGUCAUCCUUGUCCGAGCUAGUUGCUGAUUCUUUUGCAUUUUCUGGGUAGCCAUUUGAAGAAAUAUUUUCAGCUGGGCUGAUUUCUACUCUUUCAUCUUCUGUUUUCUCCCCCUGGUGGAAUGAACUCCCGAAGAUCUGUUCAUCUGACUUGUUUGGUGUAUCGACUGACACAUGGACCUCUAUUGAACUGCCAUUUUCUUCAACAGCCUUGGAAACUAAGGGUGAUGCAUAAAAAAUUUCACCCCCAGUGAUUCCAUAGUUACCUUUAGUCAGAUCCUUAAUACUUGCAACCUCUGAAGCUCUUUCAAAUUCAGAUUGUGAAUGGCCCUUCUCGUCUUUCUCCAUCUUCAGUUUGUCUGAUAUUGUAUACACUUCCCCUAGCAAAUUCUCUUUUUUUUCCUGCAUAAAGGAAUGAUUUUUGCUAUGUCGUUACAGAAUUAAGAGAAAAUGUGUUUAACUUAUCUAACAUUGGCAGAGCAGCACUGAAGUUACAACAGGAUAUUUGUCAGACUAACCCUGCGAUAUUGGAACUGCAUGUAUUAGCAAGAUCUCUGUUUUAUCAUUGAAAUGGAGUUACUAACCCAAGCCUAGUGGUAAAAGCCGCAGAUGUCCCAACAUAGGACCUAUUCAGUAAACCCAUGUUUGAGAAUCCCCCCAGAAAGAGUUGCUAUUACUCUUCCCUGUAUUAACCAAUUAAUCUCCAACAGGACCUAUUUACUCUUCGUAUAAUGUAUCAGAUAUUCUUCAUUGGCGUAAAGAGACUGCAACAGUAUGGAGGGAGGUGAUUAGGAAUGAUAUGGAGCAGUUACAGCUUACGGAGGACAUGACCCUUGAUAGGAAGGUGUGGAGGACGCGGAUUAGGGUAGAGGGUUAGGGGGUGGGAGUGCGUCGGUAUCAGUAGGGGAGCGUUCUUUUGUGUCUAGAGUUUCUUGUUCGUGGUGUUGUGGCUGUAGUAUUAUCUUGGGGCUAGCGGUGUUAGUUUAUUUUGCAUACCGUACUAGCUUAUAUGCACUUAUCUUUUGUGUUUGUUAUAUUGUUGGUUUAUUUUGCAUACCGUACUAGUUUACAUGUACUUAUCUUUUGUGUUUACUAUACUAUUAUCGGUCCUAAGCCGGGGUCUAUCGGAAACAACCUUUCUACCUCUCUACCUCACCUGAGGUAAUGGUAUGGUCUGCGUACACUCUACACUCCCUAGACCCCACUAUGUGGGAAUAUACUGGGUAUGUUGUUGUUGUUGUUGUUGGCGUAAAGAGACUGCAGUAUUAAACAAUAGGAAAAACAAUGCAGGAAUACUUCUACCUACAAUAUUUGAAGUUUGUGAAAAGUCGAUGAGAUACUGUUUAUUGCAUGUACAAGUGAUGUGUUAGUGGCUUCUAAAGAAAGAUAAAUUUUGAGUUAUCAGUUGGGUAAAUACAGAUUAGUUCGUCAGUUGGGGGCUUAAGUUAUUUACUUCUGAGAGUAUAUAUAUUAAUUACCAGUAGCAUGUUUCUAGAUUAGCUUGAUGUGACAAAGAAGUUAUAUAGAGAAUUUGAAGUGUUGGUGUCAAACAGUCAUGAUAAUCCAAUUACCUCUAACAUUUUCCGUUAAGUGUUUCUAAAAUAUGAGAAUAUUGAUUUGAAAUGUAUAUUUAUAAUUUCUCCAUGUAAGAACUUGAGUGGAACAAUUCUCCUUCCAGGCUAACUAGAUGUCGUCUCACACAAUUAAAAUGAGGAACACGUUGUUGUUCUAAGCUCAUGUUCGCUCCUCAAAACUAACACCUCAGACCAUACUAAACUUCAUUUCAGAAUAUGACAGCUAAUGUUAAAAUGAAGUAUUCACUUUCUCCUUGCUAAAGCUACCACAAUCUGUUAUGGAGUCGGGGCAAUACAAUUAACAAGAAAAUGAAUCUUUAGUUACACCCAAACUCAGCCUUUGUUUCCCUAUAGUUCUCUUUCGACCACAAGCUAUAAUUUUCUUUUAAUUAAACCAGUAUCUUUCAAUGCUAAUUUAUUUACGAAGAGUUUUUUUGAAAGUCAGAUUUCAUUAAUUCGUUUCUGUGCUAAUUUAAGUUUUCCCUAGGUAUUCUUUUUGUCAAUAUCUAUAUUCUAUAGUCUUUUGGAGAGGGUCAAGUUUUCAGUACUACAUUAUUAAAGGUGAGUAGUUGAGAAUUAAUAAUUGUGCUGAUUUGUUUCUGUGCCAUUUCUUUUUAGGCUAGCUUUGGAUGGCUUCAGGAGGAGUAGAGGUAGGCGAAAGAAAUACUGGAGGGAGGUAAUUAGGUAGGACAUGAAGUUGUUUCAGCUUACUGAGGACAUGACCCUAGACAGGAAGGUGUGGAGGUCGUGGAUUAGGGUAGAAGGCUAGUGUGAGUGGGUGGGUUGUGGCUAGGUGUUAGUAGAGUUUGGGUGUGAUAGGUGUCUUAGGUCUGUGAAUGUGUGUGACUACUACAUGGGUAUCCGUUUUCCUUAUUUCUUAUUACGUAUUGUUCGUUGUUCUCUUAUUUUCUUUUCUCGGAUAUCUAGUGUUAUUAUUUCUUACCUUUUAUUUUGUUAUGCUACCCAUCCAGUUUUAUAUUUCAUUACGAUCUUGGUAUAUUAUUCUAUAUCUUGAGCCGGGGGUCUAUCGGAAUCAACCUCUCUACUUCCUCGGAGGUAGCGGUAUGGACUGCGUACAUUUUACCCUCCCCAGACCUCACUUUGUGGGAAUACACUGGGACUGUUGUUGUUGUUGUUGUUGUAUUACCCCUCCAUACAUACACAUAUAUAGAAGUCAAGUUGCUAUUGCCUAAGAAGAAGAUCAACUAAAAUAUAGAACAUACAGCCAGGAACUUGUAUGUUAUCUCAGGAUCGAGUUUUUAUUGUAAAAUAAACAAUUUGAACCAGUUGAAUAUCUACUAAUUGUAGAAAUAACAUACAAGUUCCGAAAAUAGGAAACCUCUAUUAAAUGAUGGGCAAAUCUAAACAAAUUUUCUUUUUUCAUCGAAGACUGCAUGGCAGUAAUUUUAGAUGAAGACGGUAACCCUUAAUUCGGUUCUUUAGCGACCAUCUUUGUGGUUUGAAGAAAAUUGGUAAUGAUCUGGUAAAGUUAUUUCACUAGCAUACUUCAUAUUACACAGUUGUUUCAGAUAUGAUCUCUGAUCAUGCAGUGUCUUUUUUCUCAGAAAAAGGUCUUUUCACAUACAUGAAAGCAAUCUUGACUACUGAAAAAAAGAUGUAGAAGUAACUGUUGCGGCUAAUGGAAAUGAUAAACACGCAAAAUGAUGAAGUAUCAUGCUCACAUAAAGUAAAACAAGUGAGUUAACUUACGCUUUUGUUCUCUGGUAUUUCAGCUAUGUAUUCCAAUUCUCGUGAGCUGAUCGCUGAAUUGCUGUGUUUACGUUUUCUCAACCUCCCUAAAGACUAUCAGAGUGUGUUUUGUACAACUGAACUGGACUGAAAAUUCUCAUAGCUAUAAGUAGAGAUUCUCUAAGUAUGUCGAUGCAGGAUUACAAUAGUUAUAUAAUUAUUAAUUGAUGACCAUGUUGUUAAAGUAGAUAGAAAAUGACAAAUCCACUUGCUAAUCCUACUAAUAUUAUGAGUUGGAAAUAGACGUGGUCCUUUUGAAUGAUGAGUAGUCACAUGCCCCUCUAGUAUAGCUUUUCUAGUCAUCAAACAGUCAGAUAAUUGUUUCUAAUUUAUAACUGCAGGGAUUGUGCUGCUGACAAGAAGAAACUGCCACAAGAAUUUACUGUUCACUUCAUCCCAG
Molecule: long non-coding RNA, 6661 nt
Filed under: Capsicum annuum
Lineage: Eukaryota; Viridiplantae; Streptophyta; Magnoliopsida; Solanales; Solanaceae
Description: long non-coding RNA (CANN_LNC003850)
Source: RNAcentral